This 581-nucleotide ribosomal RNA is filed under the name uncultured low G+C Gram-positive bacterium. RNAcentral describes it as "partial 16S ribosomal RNA". It matches the Rfam family "Bacterial small subunit ribosomal RNA", at positions 357 to 922 of the family's 1533-position model. The record is from RNAcentral. Lineage: Bacteria; Bacillati; Bacillota.
GNGNUGAUCUUUCCAUGGACGCAGUCUGACGAAGCAACGCCGCGUGAGUGAGGAAGGCCCUUUGGGUUGUAAAGCUCUGUUGCCGGGGAANAAAGNUAGUGUAAGGAAAUGUGCAUUAAUUGACGGUACCCGGNGAGGAAGCACUGGCUAACUACGUGCCAGCAGCCGCGGUAAUACUGUAGAGUGCAAGCCGUUGUCCGGAAUCAUUGGGCGUAAAGGGUACGGAGGCNGGAUAUACAAGUCAAAUGUGAAAGGUGUAGGCUUAACCUACAGACUGCGUUUGAAACUGUAUAUCUUGAGAGCAUNANAAGAAGGCGGAAUUCCUGGUGUAAGUGAGUGAAAUACCGUAGAUAUCAGGAAGAACACCAGUGGGCGAAGGCGGUCUUCUGGGCUGCAUCUGACGCUNAUGUACCAAAGCUGUGGGUAGCGAACNGGAUUAGAUACCCUGGUAGUCCCAGCUGUAAACGAUGGACACUAGGUGCUGGAGNCNNAAAUNCUNNANUGCCGGANUUAACCCAUUAAGUGUNCCANCUGGGGAANNCCGGCCGAAGANUUAAACUNAAAGGNAUUUNNUGGNGCCC